Molecule: RNA transcript, 2708 nt
Organism: Hydractinia symbiolongicarpus
Lineage: Eukaryota; Metazoa; Cnidaria; Hydrozoa; Anthoathecata; Hydractiniidae
Exons: 3
Source: RefSeq, a predicted model, not a curated record
GCAUAUCAUUGAUGAGAGUUACCUUAAUUGGAACCUUGAAUGAAAAUAUUGAGGAUCUUUCCAUAUCGUUACAGACAUAUAUUGACAAAAAUUCAUUGAAAACGAUAAAACUCUACUUUCAAACUAAAUCACUUUCACUUGCUUUAAUGGAAGGGAUUCACAGUGAUAGCUCUGGAGAUGAUUUAGAGAUAAAUAACAAAGUAAGAAGAAAAGAAUCAACAAGUUUGGUAGGAUAUGAUGUGGAAAAUAUUUCUUCUGACGAACAGCAAAAGAAUGGAAACAGUGAUGCAAAAGAAAGAAAGCAAAUAAUAAUAGAACAAGACAGAGAAUAUGCUCUCUUGGUGGCUGAAAAUUUUAAAAAAGAAAAUCAAAAAGCCUCAGCUUUGAAAUCUUUAGAAAGGAGACAACUUGUAAUAGACCAAGAUGAAAAAUUUGCUCAAUCUUUGGCUAAAGAUAAGGAAAAAGAAAAGCUAAAGAGUAACAAAGAGAAUGAAGUAGCUUUAGGCCAAGGGAAUAAACUGAGGCUAGAAGGUCAGAGGAGCCAACCUUGCAGGAAGAUUGGAUACUUUUGACUGUUAACCAUAUUGAAAGAGGAAGAGUACAAAGAUUAUUUCUAUCUUGUUCAAAAUUUCAGCAGGUGUACAUAUGGAUUGGCUCAAUAACCGAGAGUGGCAGAAAUUUUGUCUUAUCUUUCAGUCCUACAACAUAUAUUAAACCAGAAGAACUUGUAACUGUUGCUGACAACAAAGUGGUUAGCAUGACAUGGGAAAUUCAUGCAGUUUUUAAAUUAGAUGACGACACAGUUGCACACAGUAGCAAAAUUUGUUGUCCAGUGUGUGGAAAACAACAAAGCUUAAAGGAAAUUGAGGCACACAGGCAUACUUAUAUUGAUCUAAUAGAUGAAAACAUAAUAAAAACCACCAUGGACGAGGCUGAAAAUGAAGAAAAAACUUUAUACGAAGAAACAUAUUGUCCUGCAACAUCCAAUGUGUUGAUGGAUCCUUGUGAGAUUGAAGUAAGAUUGAAAGAGGCCAGUGUGUGGAAAACAACAAAGCUUAAAGGAAAUUGAGGCACACAGGCAUACUUAUAUUGAUCUAAUAGAUGAAAACAUAAUAAAAACCACCAUGGACGAGGCUGAAAAUGAAGAAAAAACUUUAUACGAAGAAACAUAUUGUCCUGCAACAUCCAAUGUGUUGAUGGAUCCUUGUGAGAUUGAAGUAAGAUUGAAAGAGGCUUUAGUCAACCUAAAUGUAAACACAAAUGGAAUUUCUUUAAAAGUACGACGUAAUCAUAUGUUUGCUGAAUUUUGUAAAAGAUUUAGCCGUCCAUGGAUUAGAGAACAUUUAGGUUCAAUGAUUGUUGUUACUUUCUAUGGGGAGUCAGGUGUAGAUCAGGGGGGUUUGAGAAGAGAAUUUUUUUCUGGUAGGUCUUGCUUUUAUAGUUCAUUUUUUGAGUUUUAGAAAUUAUUUAGAUAAACUGAUUAAAAUAUUUUAAAUGCGAUGGAAGAGGGAAAGCAACAACUGUUUGUAGAGAGUGAUGAUGGUUACAUUCCUUGUAUCAACUGUUACGGAGAUAUAGCCAAUGAAACAUUAAAAUUGUAUGGCGAAUUAAUGGCAUCUUCAAUUGCAAUGACUGGUCCUGCUCCAAACUACUUCGCAAAAUGGGUUUACAAAUAUUUCAUACAUGGAACUAAAAGCAUAUUUGAUAGUGGACUUAAAAUGACGAAGGAUAAUAAAAUUGGAGAAGUUUAUUACAAGUUGGAGAAAAUAACUGAUGAAAAGGCUUUACAAGCAAUGCUUUCUUUUGAUGAUGGAAUGGAUGUAUUAUGUGAAAUCGGCUAUAAGGGAAUACCUCAAAGAGCAAAAAUGCAAGAUAGAGAUGCCAUAUUAAAGGUAAGUCAACAACUGCACCAAAUACCUUCUUUCUGGAAAUUGGGUUUUUCAAACUGCUUUGAUAAAUGCACUGAAUUUAUUUCAUGAAAUAAGGCAGAAGAGUUCAACCUAAGGGACUUAUAUGUAUGUGUUUCAUUCAGAUAUUACAUGGUAGGGUUAAAAUGUUAAUGUAUUUUUAAGGUCGAUUAUGCUGAAAGAAAAAUUGCAACCCGUGAUGCUUGUUCUUGAUCAGUUUACUGAAGGUUUAAGACUCUAUGGAAUUCUCCACACUGUGCGAUCCCAGCCUGACUUAUUUGAGUUGAAGUGAUGGUUUACAACUGUGCGAUAUUCUAAAGUUUCUUUGUGGCGUGAAGUCCAUUCCUCCCCUCGGGUUGCCUUCCAAGUUGAUAUCUUAUUCAAGCAUUGGUGCGCAGGGAAGUCGACGCAUUGUAGAUGCAAGCCGUCCGUAUCAACGUGUUCGUUAUCGUUAACACUGCCAGUACAUUACAAUAUUGUUGAUAGCGUUCAUUGAUGCUGUAAAAAUGACUUACGGAUUUGACUUAUAGAGAUGACAUUCUUGCGAUUUAUUGUCCACGAAUUUGUGUAAAGCGUUAUAGUUAUGUUGCUUUAGUUGAAUAUUUUAUUUCACUCCGAAACAACCAGUAGUUUCUAUUUAUGUUGAUGAGAGAAAGAUGUUAUGUUUCUCUUUAUAUUUAAACGCGUCUAUGGACAAAACCUGUUGAACUAAAAAAGAUAGAAAUUCUAUAUAAAUAUAUUUUUUGUGUGCUAUAUAUUAUCAAUGGCUUCUAUAAGUUUUACAAAAAGUUUUUUAGCUUC